ACUUAAAUAGCUUAUAUGUAGAGCAUAACACUGAAGAUGUUGGGGAAGUUGUUCAACUUUUAGGUA
RNAcentral lists this transfer RNA (66 nucleotides) under Atlanticus sinensis. RNAcentral's name for it is "tRNA-Phe". It matches the Rfam family "tRNA". Rfam says of the family: Transfer RNA (tRNA) molecules are approximately 80 nucleotides in length. Their secondary structure includes four short double-helical elements and three loops (D, anti-codon, and T loops). Lineage: Eukaryota; Metazoa; Arthropoda; Insecta; Orthoptera; Tettigoniidae. The record is from RNAcentral.